This 401-nucleotide ribosomal RNA is filed under the name uncultured fungus. Its description in RNAcentral is "SSU rRNA". It matches the Rfam family "Eukaryotic small subunit ribosomal RNA", at positions 828 to 1228 of the family's 1831-position model. The record is from RNAcentral. Lineage: Eukaryota; Fungi.
CUUGGGUUCUAUUUUGUUGGUUUUCAGAACCGAGGUAAUGAUUAAUAGGGAUAGUUGGGGGCAUUAGUAUUUAAUUGUCAGAGGUGAAAUUCUUGGAUUUAUUAAAGACUAACUUCUGCGAAAGCAUUUGCCAAGGAUGUUUUCAUUAAUCAAGCACGAAAGUUAGGGGAUCGAACGCGAUCAGAUACCGCGGUAGUCUUAACCAUAAACUAUGCCGACUAGGGAUCGGACGAUGUUUUUUUUCAGACUCGUUCGGCACCUUAUGAGAAAUCAAAGUUUUUGGGUUCCGGGGGGAGUAUGGUCGCAAGGCUGAAACUUAAAGGAAUUGACGGAAGGGCACCACCAGGAGUGGAGCCUGCGGCUUAAUUUGACUCAACACGGGGAAACUCACCAGGUCCAGA